Molecule: RNA transcript, 1880 nt
Organism: Olea europaea var. sylvestris
Lineage: Eukaryota; Viridiplantae; Streptophyta; Magnoliopsida; Lamiales; Oleaceae
Exons: 2
Source: RefSeq, a predicted model, not a curated record
CCGACUCGUAUAAUUGAAGCACAAUUAUAAUCUAAGACAUUCUAUUCAUUUACCAUUUCUCUCUCUAACCCUAAAUUUCAACCCUUCAUCUCAGACUUCGGCUAUUGCAGCUCCUCCAACCGCCCAAAUCUUCCUGAUGUCAAUUUUGAGCUUGUAGUCACUCAUUGCUGUAACUCUUUCGAUUUCUACUCAAUUGCUCUUUAUCUGGUCAAAUUCUCACAAUCCAUUUUCUUCAUUGUUCUUUAUCAUCAUUAUCUUCGUGUUAUUUCUUCCAUUGAAAUCUUAGCAUUUGAUUGAAUUAAAAAAAGUAUGGUCUCUCCAUUUGUACAAGAACUAGAUUGUUAAGGUAAUGGAUGAUUGUUUUUAGUUUCUUGAAUUUUUCCCUAUUUUUGUUUGUGAAUAACAUCUUUUAGGGACUUACAUUCAGUUGCUUUUUGUUGCUGGUACAAAAAUAUAUUCUUAUCUUAUUUGCAUUUUUUUUGUACUAAUCAUGAUAAAAUUCAUGAUAUUUGGACAUUUAUUUUUCCUUCUCCUAUUUGCCUUAUGAAUUGUUAUAAAAAAUUCUACGAGUUGCAUAUUUGUCAUUUAUAUUGUAUUUACUAUUUAUUUUUCUUUAUCAUUGUUCAAAACAUAAUACUUUCGACGAGUAGAGUUAUUUGAACGUACUUUUGAUGAUAUAUGACGUAAUAUUUUUGUGUAAUUAACAUGAAUUCAAAUAAUAAUUCUAGGUAACUUGUGAUUAAUCUUCAACUCUUGUACCUUCUGGCUGAGUAUGGACCAAGGUUAGAUUAGAAAUGCCUUUCAAAAUUAGUCUUUGAGAUUUAGUCUACUUUUAAGCAUCUCCAACCCAUACAUAGGCUAGAUUAGAAAUGCCUAUCAGAAUUAGUAUUUCUGUUGAAAAUUUUUGAAGGUUUGGGUUUAGACUAUGAUUAUUAAAACUAAUAAUCUGCAUUGACUAAUUUUGGGGAAACACUAGAGCUAUAUAUACACGAACCUAGUGGUUUUAGACUAGUGAUCAAUCUUUACAUGAGUUCGAAACUUUUCCAACAACGGAACACUAAUUACCGAUUAUUUUGAAUCAACAUCCUAACAUCCCAAAUGAGACCAACGGAGUUGUGCAAGGACAAAUACCCAGUAUCAUGAGAAUUUUAUGUUAUCGAAUUAUAUAAGAGGAGGUAGUUUGAGGAUAGCUGCGUAGGGCAUGUUGCAAAAAUGUAGGAGUUCAAACCAAUUGCUGGAGGAUAUUGUUCGUGAAAGUAAAAAGAAGGCAUUGCAUAGUUUGAUUGAUCCAGCAUCCGACGGUGAUGCCCUCAUUGACAAUCCCCCAAAAGAUGAUGCUCUAUCGUCAUGUAGGCCUCGAUUCUUGAUACCUAAGAUGCCAGUGCAAGCUCAAAGACACUAUACAUAUGCAACAAUCGUAAAAGUGGUAAGAGACUGAUUUCGAGUUUGUUUUGUCCAAAGAUGAGAGUCUACUUGCGCAAGUAUCUCAGCUCAGCAACUUGAAGUUCAUUAAGACGAUCCUACAGAAUUUGCAUUCAGGUUAGAAAUCGAACUUCCAAAGAUCUUAUCUCUAUUUACUGGCCAAUUUGCCUGACAUUCAACUUUUAGCCCAACUCAAUCAACAACUUCUGUUCCGAUGAUACGUGCAUCUGAAUACCAUUGCUAUUAAGCUCGACUCCUUACAAUAGGAGUGGUAGGAAGAGAGGAAAGAACAUGAAGUAAUAGGACUUUCUUGAUUGGAAAAACAAUGUGAAACAUUUUGAACUUGUUAUUUGUGUUAUUUUGAAAGUUUUUACAUUCAUGUCUUGUUUUUGUAUUUAUUUGAAAAACUAUUUAGCUCAAUUGUCAUAUAUGUGUAGUUCAUGUUAUUUGUGCAAAUA